GGUUAGUUCUCUGGUAGUCUAGGACCUUGGAGUCAGUGCUCCCACUCCAAAGGCUUAGGGCUUGAUCUCUGGUCAGGAACAAAGUUUCCAGAAGUGGUUUGUUAUGGCAUUCAGUUAGUCAGUUCAGUCGCUCAGUCGUGUCCGACUCUUUGCGA
Molecule: long non-coding RNA, 155 nt
Organism: Cervus elaphus (red deer)
Lineage: Eukaryota; Metazoa; Chordata; Mammalia; Artiodactyla; Cervidae
Exons: 3
Source: RefSeq, a predicted model, not a curated record